RNAcentral lists this ribosomal RNA (391 nucleotides) under Chrysophyceae sp. RNAcentral describes it as "partial small subunit ribosomal RNA". It matches the Rfam family "Eukaryotic small subunit ribosomal RNA", at positions 582 to 975 of the family's 1831-position model. Lineage: Eukaryota; Chrysophyceae. The record is from RNAcentral.
AUUCCAGCUCCAAUAGCGUAUACUAAAGUUGUUGCAGUUAAAAAGCUCGUAGUUGAAUUUCUGGUCUUGGACGGCGGUCUACCACAAUUGUGGUACGUACCAACUGUCCGAGUCCAUCCUCGGGGAAAACAUGCCUGUGAUUCAGUUCAUGGGUAUGGGAUCCUCGUCAUUUACUGUGAGCAAAAUAGAGUGUUCAAAGCAGGCUUAUGCCGUUGAAUACAUUAGCAUGGAAUAAUAAGAUAGGACCUUGGUCUAUUUUGUUGGUUUGUACUCCAAGGUAAUGAUUAAUAGGGAUAGUUGGGGGUAUUCGUAUUCAAUUGUCAGAGGUGAAAUUCUUGGAUUUAUGGAAGACGAACUACUGCGAAAGCAUUUACCAAGGAUGUUUUCAUCA